UACGUAGGGAGCGAGCGUUGUCCGGAAUUACUGGGUGUAAAGGGCGAGUAGGCGGACUCAACAGUCAGGUGUGAAAUACCCGGGCUUAACCCGGGGGCUGCAUUUGAAACUAUGAGUCUUGAGAGAUGGAGAGGUAAGCGGAAUUCCUAGUGUAGCGGUGAAAUGCGUAGAUAUUAGGAGGAACACCAGUGGCGAAGGCGGCUUACUGGACAUCAACUGACGCUGAGGAGCGAAAGCGUGGGGAGCGAAC
This 250-nucleotide ribosomal RNA is filed under the name uncultured prokaryote. RNAcentral describes it as "partial 16S ribosomal RNA". It matches the Rfam family "Bacterial small subunit ribosomal RNA", at positions 524 to 773 of the family's 1533-position model. The record is from RNAcentral.